Long non-coding RNA from Cephus cinctus (wheat stem sawfly), 2507 nucleotides. RefSeq lists it as uncharacterized. The record is from RefSeq and is a predicted model, not a curated record. NCBI's taxonomy places the organism in Eukaryota, Metazoa, Arthropoda, Insecta, Hymenoptera, Cephidae. The transcript is spliced from 3 exons.
AGCAAACGCAUUUCGUCGCCCUCUAUUGUACAUUCACGUUGUCCAAAUGUUUCUCGUCUUUCGGCAAACGGACGCCGUAUUUAAAUUGAUCCUGUAACGGUAUUUCCUCGUGCAAUAAUAAGGAUCAACGUGGUCGCCGUAAUCGUCCCCUCCUCUUUUUCUCCUACGUAAACCCCGAGCAACCCCCUCGUCCCUCGUCCGUUCGCGCUUCCAGAAUGGCGACGUUCUCAAACUUUUUCUGCUCAUCGACGUCUGGCGUCGACCGUGUACACGGCGUUCGAGUUAACCUCUGUUGGAAGACGUUCUCAAAGAAGGCAAAGGAGAAUACACACAGAAAAAUAAAAACGAGACAAAAAGCAAAUUUAUACGCUCGACUCGGUUCACUCGAGGAGCAAUGCGUGCGAUUGAGAAAACUUUCCACGUACACGUGGACUAUGGAUUAUGACGCAAGGAAACGAAGAGAUUCGUUAAAGAAGCACUCCUAUUUAUUUGACGUACGUUUCAUGUAUUUUCGUGGAUUACUAUUUUUAACGCGACAUAACGGCGUCCCGUUCGCGUCACUCUGGCUAUUCCGUCCGCCAUGCUUGCUGCCGACGCCAUAUGUCUCGCGCUGUCAAAUUCUCUGAAACCUCGUAUAUCAGGACGCUCAAGGAAAUGUACCUCGUGAUCGUGAAGAUGAUCUUCGAUACCACUGGCGAAGGAGUAACCUAGAGAUUUAAUGGAGGAAGAAAAUUUCACGGAGGCUCAGCGAAGAUACAUGACAGGUUAUGUUACGUGCCACCAGCACGUGAUUACGUAACGGCCUGACAAUAGAAUUACAUAGAUGCCAGACGUCGCGAUCUGAUGACGACGAAGAGACGGAAAUAUAUAGAUAUUUUGAUAAUUUAAUACGAUUCGAUAUUUCUUCGAUUGUGCAACGAAUGAUCGGAGGACCGCGAUCACGACUUCCGCGUGUCCAAGCGAUGCCAACUGACGCUAAUAGAACAUUCUGUAUAUGUACGUACGUAUCAAUAGACAUCAUACAAAGAGCAGGAUGCUUAACCUCAUAUAUUAAUGUAGAAGACCAACGUGUAUCUUCCAUAUAUAGAUGAACGUUGAUGCACUCCAUGAAAUCAUGACACCAGGAUCAUGUGCAUUCGAUUGACUUCAAUUAAUUGCCGAAGAGAAUCACAGUACAGAGGACAAUUGUAGUGUCAUGAUUGCGGUCAAUAUCUUUUGACAUCACUUGAAAUAUGAUGGUCGAUAACUCUUUAACGUACAUAUGAAUUAUCGAAGCAACGACUGCAACGGUUCCUUUUUGGUGCUAAUCGUGAAUAACGAUUCUCGAUAAGCGAUUAUCGAUUGAUCGAUAACAAUUCAAAUAUAUACAAUUGAUGUUAAAGUACAAUCGUCACAGUUAUCAUUACGUGGAAGAUAACUAAAAAACAGUAUAGUCAUAAGCAAUCAGUGUCAGGAUUUGGAAACCGUGCUAAAUGCGAGUAAAUCCAAGUGAGGUCAUCCUUCUUCCGCUAUUCGAGGGAACAUUAGGUAAAUUGCUGGUGUAACCGGAAAAAUGGAGGGCAAAUAAACUGACUAAAGCGAAAGGAGAGAGACGAGCGUGGAGCCAGAAGGGCUAUAAGUGUAAUGUAUAGCUAUAUAUAUAUUUUUUAUUCGUGUUAUACAUUAUAUUAUACGCGUAGCGAACAACGGCUAUUUCUGACAGUACGAAUCUCGAACUAGCAGUUUAGUUUCACGAUAAGCAGGCAAAUGCUGAUGCAGCGAAGAUAGUUUUCCCGUUCGAUCUAUACUCAGUCAUGUUUUUUAUUCGUAUGUCUGAUUCUCAGUAUAUAUAUGCGUGUAUACCAGUAUAUAUGUAUAUAUAUUUCCUUACACGAUAAUAAGCCGUUUUCAAAACUAUCGUUGGAAAAGGGAAUAAGAAGGAAUUCGAUCGCGAAUGUUGUUGCCUUUCUGAAUUUUAAUCUCAAUGUCGGGUAUAAUUUUCUUAAUGGUUACGGAACUUGAGCGAAAGUUCACAUAUCGAUGCAAAACGUUAUGUCGAAAGUCGGAAGGCAAGUCCCGAUUGAUGCAAAGGUUCGGUGGAAAUUUCCAUGGGGCCUCGGGUAAUCUCGGAAGGACUCGGCGAUAUUCGGACGGCUCGUCAAACUACCCAUUCGCCAUUUACCAAUCGCUACAUUAACUGCAAUCCAACCGUUGAAUUGGUGGUGUGGCAACCGCGCUCGGGGAAUCGCAACUAACAAACGAUUCGCCGUGAUACGUCGGUGCCUCCACGAGUUCGAUGAAUGAAUGUAUGAAAAGAGGUAAUGAAAAAGCUAAUCGUCAGAAUCGACCUAUUGGCCCGUCGCGAUGGUAAACAAUUGCGAUACGAGAGCGCGAAUCUGACAUUGAGUCGUGAACGCGCAGUGUUGCAAGGAAUAAAAAUGUAAGUGAUAGAGUAUUCCCAUAGUCUUAAAACGAAUGGGGCGUAUAAAAGAUAAAUAAAUAUUGAAAGAAAAGCAUAAACAAACAGA